UAUAAUACUUCCAAGGCAAAGUGGGUGGCGGAGUCGAUGAAAGAUGAAGAGCCUUUGCGUCUAAACACAUUUUUCUUAGCACACAAGCAGCAUCGUCGUAAUACCUUAAUACUUAAUAGUAUGAGAGGAGAGAUUUGUGAAUAAUACUUUAAAGAAUGAAAAGAGAAUGUUUGUAUUUUAAGACCUAUGGUGUCUCAUAUAUAUAUACAGUCGAUUUAUUUCUCAUAUUAAUGACGCACAAUAUUUUGCACAAUAAAUAAUGAAAUCGUUUAAAGAAAGAUAUUAAAUGUGUAUUGUCAAAAAAUGAUUUGCAUACGAUAUGAUUUUAACUUGUGCAAGUAAUCCAUAUUAGAAAGGUAAGUUAUUAAAAACAAACAACCUAAAUAGAAACAUUAAAAUAUUUUGUAAGCAAUGUAAUAAAUAUGAUAUCAACAUGCGCAAGUUUACCGUUUGAAUAAUAAGGAAAUUUUUUAAUAUUUAUCUUAAUUCUAAAUCUUGCCCAAGGGUAAACUAAAUCGAUAAUAUUUAAUGAUUUCAACUUGCGCAAGUAAUCCAUAUUAGAAAGGUAAGUUAUUAAAAACAAAUUUUGUCAAUAAGUUGUUUGCAUAUUUAAUGAUUUCAACUUGUGCAAGAAAUCCAUAUUAGAAAGGUGGACACAUUACCCGAUAUCCGAAGUGGCAUGUCAAGUUUUUUAUUUAAAAAUUAACAAAAAAUUACAUCCAAAUUUUUUUAAAAAUAACUAAAUUAAUGCCUUUUUAGUUUUAAAUUUUUAUUUCUAAAUCUAUUAACCAUUCAAUCUAUUAAAAAUAAAAAAUUAGUUA
This 821-nucleotide long non-coding RNA is filed under the name Brassica napus (rape). Its description in RNAcentral is "long non-coding RNA (BNAP_LNC010415)". Lineage: Eukaryota; Viridiplantae; Streptophyta; Magnoliopsida; Brassicales; Brassicaceae. The record is from RNAcentral.